AGCAGCUGGUGGGGAACACAUCGCUGGAGUGCCACCCACACCCCCCACCAUGCCAUGUAAGGCUUUCCUUGCCCUGCUCAGCCCAGUAAAGCCCAGUAAAUCCCCUCAGCCCCACGAGCAGGGUCUGAUACAGUUCUCGUUGCAGACACCAGUUGCUGUUUCCCUCCUGUCUCCAUCCUGGGUGAGCAUCAUAUCCUGGCUACUCUGCUUCUGCGCCCUGGGGCAGGAGCUGGCUGCAGCUCACAGGCUGUAUCUGCUCUCAUUCCAGGCUGUCACACUGACCUGAAGCAGGAAGGAACAGAGGGAAAGGCUGCUAUCGUGGCACGUUUUCCUGGUGAGACAUCCCUGGGGAUGGGAAGAGGAAACCAAAUGCUGCCAGUGGCUGUCGCAGCCUCAGGCUCCCAAGGGACAGCUGCCAUGAGCGAGCAGCCGGCAGCAGGUGAAGAUGCAUCAGAUGCAAGCCUUCAUGGGCCUGGUGUGGCAAGCUUGCUCCAGAACGUCCAGCAACUGCUGGUGCAGAUCCUGCAGACAUCACGGCAGCAGCAGGCACUACUGGAGAGCCUGGCCAGCGACACAGUCUCCCACCUCCAGCUCCUCUCCCACAGCCUCGUGCAAGUGGGCGAGACCCUGCACCAGCUCCUGCUCCGGCCACAGACCCAUCCUGGCCCCCUUAGCCACUACAUCCCCCAUGUGCCCCUUUUUGAGGGUGGCCCUGGAAUGCCCUGCUCCCCUGGCACUCCCCACACCUCCCCGGAUUGCAAAGAGGAACCUCAGCUGUCCCGUGCCACCAGUUGCACCCCACCAUGAGUGCCACCAUCACCUACCCCAGGAGCAACAGCUUUGCUACGCAACCACAGCACAAAUCUGUAUAGCAGAGGUUCCAGAUAUUUUGAAAGUUUAUAGAAGAGAGACAU
RNAcentral lists this long non-coding RNA (914 nucleotides) under Lepidothrix coronata (blue-crowned manakin). RNAcentral's name for it is "lncRNA (ENSLCOG00000013578.1)". Lineage: Eukaryota; Metazoa; Chordata; Aves; Passeriformes; Pipridae. The record is from RNAcentral.